AGGAAGAAAAAAAACCAACAAAAACUUAUAUGCAGUUUAUAGCCCAAAUUUGUAAACUUGUCCAUUUUAAGGUAGGUGAAAGGAUCUUGCCAAAGUUAGGGGCAAUUUGCAAUUCAUUGUUUUUAAAUUUGACACACAUUAAUAUUUUUGUGAAUGAUUAAGGCUAUUUAUUUUUGUAUAUCGCUUUACCUACCUGGACUGCAUUGCCACCUAGAAGGUGGCAGGAGGUAGUUGUCUGGAAUGUGGAGAACACUCCGCUGCCAUUUUUCUUUCACUUUGGCAUGAUCACAUGGUUUACCCUUUCUGUCUUUUCUUAGCCCUUGACUUCUAGGAUAUUGGAGGAAAGAGACAGAAGUACAGUAUAUCACUUUACCUGUCUGCACUAUAUGUGUGAUGUUGGAAAAGUCACUUAAUUUCUUCAUUCAUCAGUUUCUAUGUCUUCAACCAAAGAGGUGGAGCCUGAUGGUAAUUGGUUUCUCAUUGCUCUGACACUCUGAGUGUGCAUAUGUGGGGGUGGACGUCCUCCAUACAGAAAGCAAAAUGAUGGUUUUGAUGCUGAGAAAUGGACUAGCUAUGAACUCAAAGAUUUUACAUUGAUUCUUACUACAGAGGUGGGUUAUUGUUAUUGUACCAGUUCUCUAAUUUCAACGUACAGAGGCAGCUACACUGGCCUUCGUGGUUUUUUUCUGUGUCCUUAUUUAUGAACUUGGUGCAUAAAACCCUUCUUCAUUUCCUUAGAUGACUGAGGCAGUUAAUCCUUUAUUGAUCACUCACGAUUAUAACACAGGUGUUAUGCAAACACAGUGAGGUCUUUAUGCCCGAGGAGGCCUUCGCUGUGACAGAGCUUCUGACAACACACACUCAGGCUGUGUCUCCUUUGUACUGUCCCUGGGGCUGCUGACUUCCCUUCUCACUGCCUCUAAGUAAAACUUCUCACUCCUGUCAGGUGGCAGGUAAAGACAGAAACUGACUCUAGGGCCUACCUUAGGCCGUGUGAUCCCAGCACACUCAGAGGUCCUGGAGGGUGAAUCCCUAAAGCUGAGCUAGGGAUGGUAAAGGCACUCCAGCCUUCUCCAUAGUGGCUCCACAGUCCUCAGGUUUCUCUAUGAUUGGCUUUUUGGAGAAGCCAGAAAAGAAAAACCAAGAACCCCACUGAGGUGAACACAUGAUUGAUUUCAGCUCCACAACUGAGUGAGACAGUUUUUGGGAGGCACAUCAACCUGCAGGUAUAGAUGAGGCUGCAGGUUCUUUUCCGGGGCUGCUAGAGUGGAGUCAUCUGGGGACCAGUGAGAGAAAUGCAUCACUCACUUUGUAUUCUUAUCCCUGUGGUUGGGGAAGAAACACUCACCAGUCCACAGAAUGUGGUCACGUGACUAGGGAGAGACUCAAGGCAAAGGGCUCAAAAUGCCAUGCCCCAUUUUCCGUUUGUCAAUAAUCAGUGCUGUCAUCUUCCUGUUCAUGUUGUAAGUUUUGAUCUUUUCAGGACUGCUUCCUUGCCAAACCCUCGCGUCCACUCCCCAACACACUUUGUGCUAAUUAAUGGCAUUUCAUCGCUUGAUUUUGAAAAAUGAAAGUGUGAACUACUUGUGAAAGAGCUCUUAGCAAGAUAAGAAAGAAAAAAUGACUCCUUAUCUCCCUAACCUACAGAAAAGCUGGUAUGAUUAUGUCUUAAGAAUGUGCAUGAAAAUGUUAUUUCUAACAGAGGGAGUCCAGCAAACAUCCACACUCCAAAUACUGGGCUCCCUGCCUACACGCAGGCCUUUGCUGAAAUGUCACCUUCUUAUUGUAUCCCUUCUUGACAACCUGAUUUAAAAUUGUAAUUUCUGCAAGCCUGCUGACAACACUCUCUCUCUCCCCGCCUGUUUUACUCCUCUCCAUGGCAAUUAUCUCCAUCUGACAUAUAUUUUACUUAUUUUAUUUUGUGUUUAUUUCCACUGAAAUAUAAGCUCCUGAGAUUCUGAGAGCUGUGCUUCCAUUGUGUCUAGAAAAGCGUCUGGCACAUAUGAGCCUCAGACUCAGGGCUGGGACCCUUGGGACUCAAAAGAGAGAAAAGGUGGAGAAAAGAGAAAGCUACUAUUUUCUUCAUUUUGCCCCUGCUAACAUCCAAUGCACUUAGGAGCCUCGAUGUCUGCUCUCCAAGAGAUGUCUGAUCUGAAAGCAUGUUGUGGUCCGCUACACACAAGAGCAAAAGAAGAGCAGGAAGGAGCUCAGUGCCAAGACCAUAGCCACAGGAAGAAAACCAGCUCUUAGGGCUGCAGCUCUAAAGACAGGCCAGGUCAUUACAGGAACGUCUGCUCCCUUAGCCUUGCCAGACAGAGGAGGGUUAAGAAAGGAACUGCUGACCCUGAUAUGCAAACUGCCACGAGUGCUUCCUGCCUUUCUAUCAGCAUCAGAUGGCUAGCGAUGGAUGGCUGUAAGAUUGAUGUAAUUAACAUUUUAUUUUCAGGGCCACAGUGCUGGUUGGGUGCACCAGACAAAUCAACCAACAGAUUAAAGAGUGAUGGAGAAA
Molecule: long non-coding RNA, 2509 nt
Filed under: Homo sapiens (human)
Lineage: Eukaryota; Metazoa; Chordata; Mammalia; Primates; Hominidae
Description: HSALNT0375628
Source: RNAcentral